GACGAACGCUGGCGGCGUGCUUAACACAUGCAAGUCGAACGGAAAGGCCCUGCUUUUGUGGGGUGCUCGAGUGGCGAACGGGUGAGUAACACGUGAGUAACCUGCCCUUGACUUUGGGAUAACUUCAGGAAACUGGGGCUAAUACCGGAUAGGAGCUCCUGCUGCAUGGUGGGGGUUGGAAAGUUUCGGCGGUUGGGGAUGGACUCGCGGCUUAUCAGCUUGUUGGUGGGGUAGUGGCUUACCAAGGCUUUGACGGGUAGCCGGCCUGAGAGGGUGACCGGCCACAUUGGGACUGAGAUACGGCCCAGACUCCUACGGGAGGCAGCAGUGGGGAAUAUUGCACAAUGGGCGGAAGCCUGAUGCAGCAACGCCGCGUGCGGGAUGACGGCCUUCGGGUUGUAAACCGCUUUCGCCUGUGACGAAGCGUGAGUGACGGUAAUGGGUAAAGAAGCACCGGCUAACUACGUGCCAGCAGCCGCGGUGAUACGUAGGGUGCGAGCGUUGUCCGGAUUUAUUGGGCGUAAAGGGCUCGUAGGUGGUUGAUCGCGUCGGAAGUGUAAUCUUGGGGCUUAACCCUGAGCGUGCUUUCGAUACGGGUUGACUUGAGGAAGGUAGGGGAGAAUGGAAUUCCUGGUGGAGCGGUGGAAUGCGCAGAUAUCAGGAGGAACACCAGUGGCGAAGGCGGUUCUCUGGGCCUUUCCUGACGCUGAGGAGCGAAAGCGUGGGGAGCGAACAGGCUUAGAUACCCUGGUAGUCCACGCUGUAAACGGUGGGUACUAGGUGUGGGGUCCAUUCCACGGGUUCCGUGCCGUAGCUAACGCUUUAGGUACCCCGCCUGGGGAGUACGGCCGCAAGGCUAAAACUCAAAGGAAUUGACGGGGCCCCGCACAAGCGGCGGAGCAUGCGGAUUAAUUCGAUGCAACGCGUAGAACCUUACCUGGGUUUGACAUGGAUCGGGAGUGCUCAGAGAUGGGUGUGCCUCUUUUGGGGUCGGUUCACAGGUGGUGCAUGGCUGUCGUCAGCUCGUGUCGUGAGAUGUUGGGUUAAGUCCCGCAACGAGCGCAACCCUUGUUCACUGUUGCCAGCACGUUAUGGUGGGGACUCAGUGGAGACCGCCGGGGUCAACUCGGAGGAAGGUGGGGAUGACGUCAAGUCAUCAUGCCCCUUAUGUCCAGGGCUUCACGCAUGCUACAAUGGCUGGUACAGAGAGUGGCGAGCCUGUGAGGGUGAGCGAAUCUCGGAAAGCCGGUCUCAGUUCGGAUUGGGGUCUGCAACUCGACCUCAUGAAGUCGGAGUCGCUAGUAAUCGCAGAUCAGCAACGCUGCGGUGAAUACGUUCCCGGG
This 1343-nucleotide ribosomal RNA is filed under the name uncultured bacterium. RNAcentral describes it as "16S ribosomal RNA". It matches the Rfam family "Bacterial small subunit ribosomal RNA", at positions 28 to 1378 of the family's 1533-position model. The record is from RNAcentral.